CAGUCGCCACGGUAAUACAGAGGGUGCGAGCGUUAAUCGGAUUUACUGGGCGUAAAGCGUGCGUAGGCGGCUUCUUAAGUCGGAUGUGAAAUCCCUGAGCUUAACUUAGGAAUUGCAUUCGAUACUGGGAAGCUAGAGUAUGGGAGAGGAUGGUAGAAUUCCAGGUGUAGCGGUGAAAUGCGUAGAGAUCUGGAGGAAUACCGAUGGCGAAGGCAGCCAUCUGGCCUAAUACUGACGCUGAGGUACGAAAGCAUGGGGAGCAAACAGGAUUGGAUACCCCCGUAGUCCCUGUCUCUUAUAC
This 301-nucleotide ribosomal RNA is filed under the name uncultured bacterium. Its description in RNAcentral is "partial 16S ribosomal RNA". It matches the Rfam family "Bacterial small subunit ribosomal RNA", at positions 509 to 807 of the family's 1533-position model. The record is from RNAcentral.